Non-coding RNA from Paramuricea clavata, 232 nucleotides. The record is from the annotation of a GenBank genome assembly. Lineage: Eukaryota; Metazoa; Cnidaria; Anthozoa; Malacalcyonacea; Plexauridae.
CUUCAAUAUAUUGCAUGCAAUCUUGGCAACCUAGCCUGUAGUAUUCCAACUUCAAUAUCCCGCACAAUAUAUGCGAAGAUAGAAAAAUUAAUAAUAUUUCCGCUGUCGUUAUGUGUCGUAUAAUGUUUUUAUUUUUUAUCUCUGUAGUUCACUUUUGACAAGAAUGCGGGUUACUUUUUGGUGGUUAGCUGUUUUGGCAGUUUUUCCGGUAUUUGCGAUCGCUCUAUCCCAG